RNAcentral lists this ribosomal RNA (520 nucleotides) under uncultured bacterium. Its description in RNAcentral is "bacterial SSU rRNA". It matches the Rfam family "Bacterial small subunit ribosomal RNA", at positions 120 to 674 of the family's 1533-position model. The record is from RNAcentral.
GGGAAUCUACCCAGAUCUACGGAACAACAGAGGGAAACUUCUGCUAAUACCGUAUACGCCCUACGGGGGAAAGAUUUAUCGGAUUUGGAUGAGCCCGCGUAAGAUUAGCUAGUUGGUGAGGUAAUGGCUCACCAAGGCGACGAUCUUUAGCUGGUCUGAGAGGAUGAUCAGCCACACUGGGACUGAGACACGGCCCAGACUCCUACGGGAGGCAGCAGUGGGGAAUAUUGGACAAUGGGCGCAAGCCUGAUCCAGCCAUGCCGCGUGAGUGGUGAAGGCCUUAGGGUUGUAAAGCUCUUUCAGUGGGGAAGAUAAUGACGGUACCCACAGAAGAAGCCCCGGCUAACUUCGUGCCAGCAGCCGCGGUAAUACGAAGGGGGCUAGCGUUGUUCGGAUUUACUGGGCGUAAAGCGCACGUAGGCGGUUUGUUAAGUCAGAGGUGAAAUCCUGGAGCUCAACUCCAGAACUGCCUUUGAUACUGGCAAGCUCGAGUCCGGAAGAGGUAAGUGGAACUCCUAGU